GCCAGGCGUGGUGGCGCACACCUGUAAUCCCAGCUACUCAGGAGGCUGAGGCAGGAGAAUUGCUUGAACCUGGGAGGCAGAAGUUGCAGUGAGCUGAGAUCGUGCCACUGCACUUCAGCCUGGGUGACAGAGCGAGACUCCGUCUCAA
RNAcentral lists this non-coding RNA (148 nucleotides) under Gorilla gorilla gorilla (western lowland gorilla). Lineage: Eukaryota; Metazoa; Chordata; Mammalia; Primates; Hominidae. The record is from Rfam by way of RNAcentral.